AUGGAGAGCUUAACAAGCACAGAGAAAACCAACUCAGUACAAAAUCAGACAAAGCAGCAGGAGGAGGGCAGUGAGGACGAGGAAGACUUAGAUGAAGACGAUUGGGAAGAUAUUGAUUCUGAUGAAGAAUUGGAAUGUGAGGAUACUGAAGCAGUGGAGGAGCAUGAGGCAGAGGAGGAAAAGGCUGGAGAAAGCCCACCCCUUGGAGCCAUCCCUAUAAGAGACUGCUUAUUUUGUUCCCAUCAUUCAAGCUCACUCGUGAAGAAUGUGGCUCAUAUGACAAAAGUCCACAGCUUCUUUAUUCCUGAUAUAGAAUAUCUUUCAGAUCUUAAGGGACUGAUUAAAUACUUAGGAGAGAAAGUUGGUGUUGGGAAGAUUUGCUUGUGGUGCAAUGAGAAAGGGAAAUCCUUUUACUCCACAGAGGCUGUGCAGGCACACAUGAAUGACAAAAGCCACUGUAAGCUCUUCACAGAUGGCGAUGCUUCUUUGGAAUUUGCAGAUUUCUAUGAAUUUAGGAGUAGCUACCCAGAUCACAAGGAAGGGGAGGAUGCCACUGAGUCUGAGGAGUUGCCCUCAGAAAAGAACUUAGAAUAUAAUGAUAAAACCAUGGAGCUGAUUCUGCCUUCUGGUGCCAGAGUGGGUCAUCGUUCCUUGAUGAGAUACUACAAACAGCGAUUUGGCGUGUCAAGAGCUGUGACAGUUGCGAAAAACCAGAAGGCUGUGGGCCACGUCCUUCAGCAAUACAGAGCCCUGGGAUGGACUGGCAGCACAGGAGCGGCUCUUAUGCGAGAACGAGACAUGCAGUAUGUCCAAAGGAUGAAAUCAAAGUGGAUGCUGAAGACAGGAAUGAAGAAUAAUGCCACAAAGCAGAUGCACUUUAGGGUCCAAGUGAGAUUCUGAGAGUCUGCGGCAUUGAGUCAACCUCCUGCUCAAGUUUCCUCCUUGUCCGAGGACCAGGGAAGGCCAGAUUGUAUGAUGGGCCCUUUUGCUGCUACUCCAUUUGUUCUGACCUAAUAAUAAAAGUCAGAAUCAUACUGGUUUUCAAAGUU
Non-coding RNA from Microcebus murinus (gray mouse lemur), 1049 nucleotides. The record is from RefSeq and is a predicted model, not a curated record. NCBI's taxonomy places the organism in Eukaryota, Metazoa, Chordata, Mammalia, Primates, Cheirogaleidae.